Molecule: ribosomal RNA, 210 nt
Filed under: fungal sp. S1.4.10
Lineage: Eukaryota; Fungi
Description: 5.8S ribosomal RNA
Rfam family: 5.8S ribosomal RNA (bases 24-176)
About the family: 5.8S ribosomal RNA (5.8S rRNA) is a component of the large subunit of the eukaryotic ribosome. It is transcribed by RNA polymerase I as part of the 45S precursor that also contains 18S and 28S rRNA.
Source: RNAcentral
UCUGAGUACUAUAUAAUAGUUAAAACUUUCAACAACGGAUCUCUUGGUUCUGGCAUCGAUGAAGAACGCAGCGAAAUGCGAUAAUUAAUGUGAAUUGCAGACUCAGUGAAUCAUCGAAUCUUUGAACGCACAUUGCGCCCUCUGGUAUUCCGGGGGGCAUGCCUGUUCGAGCGUCAUUACAACCCUCAAGCUCUGCUUGGUGUUGGGCCU